GUCGUGUCGCUCCUCGCGGUGUCUUUCGGUGUCGCGGCGUCGAUAGCCUUGUCGCGACUCGCUUUGCAUGUCGACGUCGGCAUCUAUGGAACGGCGGGGUGGCUGAGCGUGACUGCGUUUGCGGCCAUUGCCGUAUCCAGUCUCCGUAGUGGCUGACUUACGCCAGUCGAGCGUUUCGGGCCGGAUGUGGCUUCCAAUCGAACAUGCGGCCUCAUGG
This 217-nucleotide unclassified non-coding RNA is filed under the name Hevea brasiliensis (rubber tree). The record is from RNAcentral. Lineage: Eukaryota; Viridiplantae; Streptophyta; Magnoliopsida; Malpighiales; Euphorbiaceae.